RNAcentral lists this ribosomal RNA (825 nucleotides) under uncultured bacterium. Its description in RNAcentral is "bacterial SSU rRNA". It matches the Rfam family "Bacterial small subunit ribosomal RNA", at positions 100 to 917 of the family's 1533-position model. The record is from RNAcentral.
GGACUGGUGAGUAACGCGUGGGCGACCUGCCCCGGGGAUGGGGACAGCCGUUGGAAACAGCGGGUAAUACCGAAUACGUUCACUAUGCUGCGGCAUGGUGAGGAAAGGGGCUACGGCCCCGCCCCGGGAUGGGCCCGCGUCCCAUUAGCUAGUUGGCGGGGUAACAGCCCACCAAGGCGAAGAUGGGUAGCCGGCCUGAGAGGGCGAACGGCCACACUGGGACUGAGAUACGGCCCAGACUCCUACGGGAGGCAGCAGCUAAGAAUAUUCCGCAAUGGACGAAAGUCUGACGGAGCGACGCCGCGUGGAUGAGGAAGGCCGAAAGGUUGUAAAAUCCUUUUGCAGGCGCAGAAGAAGGCGGGGAGGGAAUGCCCCGCCGGUGACAAAGGUCUGUGAAUAAGCCCCGGCUAAUUACGUGCCAGCAGCCGCGGUAACACGUAAGGGGCGAGCGUUGUUCGGAAUUAUUGGGCGUAAAGGGCGCGUAGGCGGCCUGGCAAGUCCGGCGUGAAAUAUCGGGGCUUAACCCCGGGGCUGCGCUGGAAACUGCCUGGCUUGAGUCACGGAGGGGCAGCCGGAAUUCCUGGUGGAGGGGUGAAAUCUGUAGAUAUCAGGAAGAACACCGGUGGCGAAGGCGGGCUGCCAGCCGAUGACUGACGCUGAGGCGCGAAAGUGCGGGGAGCAAACAGGAUUAGAUACCCUGGUAGUCCGCACUGUAAACGAUGUGCACUAGGUGUCGGGGCGAGCGUCUCGGCGCCGGAGCGAACGCGAUAGGUGCACCGCCUGGGGAGUAUGCCCGCAAGGGUGAAACUCAAAGGAAUUGACGGA